This 440-nucleotide ribosomal RNA is filed under the name uncultured bacterium. RNAcentral's name for it is "partial 16S ribosomal RNA". It matches the Rfam family "Bacterial small subunit ribosomal RNA", at positions 338 to 795 of the family's 1533-position model. The record is from RNAcentral.
CCUACGGGAGGCAGCAGUGGGGAAUAUUGCACAAUGGGGGAAACCCUGAUGCAGCGACGCCGCGUGAGUGAAGAAGUAAUUCGUUAUGUAAAGCUCUAUCAGCAGGGAAGAAAAUGACGGUACCUGAGUAAGAAGACCCGGCUAACUACGUGUCAGCAGCCGCGGUCAUACGUAGGGGGCAAGCGUUAUCCGGAUAUACUGGGUGAAAAGGGAGCGUAGACGGCAGUGCAAGUAUGGGGUGAAAGGCGGGGGCUCAACCCCCGGACAGCUCUGGAAACUAUACGGCUGGAGUGAGGGAGAGGUAAGUGGAAUUCCAAGUGUAGCGGUGAAAUGCGUAGAUAUAAGGAGGAACACCAGAGGCGAAGGCAGCUUACUGGGCUGUAACUGACGUUGAGGCACGAAAGCGUGGGGAGCAAACAGGAUUAGAUACCCCUGUAGUC